AUUGAACGCUGGCGGCAUGCCUUACACAUGCAAGUCGAACGGCAGCAUGGGUGCUUGCACCUGAUGGCGAGUGGCGAACGGGUGAGUAAUGCAUCGGAACGUACCCGGAAGUGGGGGAUAACGUAGCGAAAGUUACGCUAAUACCGCAUAUUCUGUGAGCAGGAAAGCGGGGGAUCGCAAGACCUCGCGCUUCCGGAGCGGCCGAUGUCGGAUUAGCUAGUUGGCGGGGUAAAGGCCCACCAAGGCAACGAUCCGUAGCGGGUCUGAGAGGAUGAUCCGCCACACUGGGACUGGGACACGGCCCAGACUCCUACGGGAGGCAGCAGUGGGGAAUUUUGGACAAUGGGGGCAACCCUGAUCCAGCCAUGCCGCGUGAGUGAAGUAGGCCUUCGGGUUGUAAAGCUCUUUCGGCCGGGAAGAAAUCGCAUCUCCUAAUACGGGGUGUGGAUGACGGUACCGGAAUAAGCACCGGCUAACUACGUGCCAGCCGCCGCAGUAA
RNAcentral lists this ribosomal RNA (499 nucleotides) under uncultured bacterium. RNAcentral describes it as "partial 16S ribosomal RNA". It matches the Rfam family "Bacterial small subunit ribosomal RNA", at positions 29 to 523 of the family's 1533-position model. The record is from RNAcentral.